GACGAACGCUGGCGGCGUGCCUAACACAUGCAAGUGGAGCGACGAACCAGGCUUCGGCCUGGGGCAAAGCCGCGAACGGGUGAGUAACACGUGGGUAACCUGCCCCGAUGAUUGGGACAACCCGAGGAAACUCGGGCUAAUACCGAAUGUGCCCUACAGCCUCAAGGCUGGUGGGGAAAGGAAGCUUCGGCCUCCGCAUCGGGAUGGGCCCGCGGCCCAUUAGCUUGUUGGUGAGGUAACGGCUCACCAAGGCUACGAUGGGUAGCUGGUCUGAGAGGACGAUCAGCCACACUGGGACUGAGACACGGCCCAGACUCCUACGGGAGGCAGCAGUGGGGAAUCUUGCGCAAUGCGCGAAAGCGUGACGCAGCAACGCCGCGUGGGGGAAGACGGCCUCGG
RNAcentral lists this ribosomal RNA (399 nucleotides) under uncultured bacterium. RNAcentral describes it as "bacterial SSU rRNA". It matches the Rfam family "Bacterial small subunit ribosomal RNA", at positions 28 to 420 of the family's 1533-position model. The record is from RNAcentral.